RNAcentral lists this ribosomal RNA (253 nucleotides) under uncultured bacterium. RNAcentral describes it as "partial 16S ribosomal RNA". It matches the Rfam family "Bacterial small subunit ribosomal RNA", at positions 524 to 776 of the family's 1533-position model. The record is from RNAcentral.
UACGUAGGGUGCAAGCGUUGUCCGGAAUUAUUGGGCGUAAAGAGCUCGUAGGCGGUUUGUUGCGUCGGCUGUGAAAUCCCGAGGCUCAACCUCGGGUCUGCAGUCGAUACGAGCAAACUAGAGUGUUGCAGGGGAGACUGGAAUUCCUGGUGUAGCGGUGAAAUGCGCAGAUAUCAGGAAGAACACCCGUGGCGAAGGCGGCUCUCUGGAACGCAACUGACGCUGAGACGCGAAAGCGUGGGGAGCAAACAGG